This 389-nucleotide ribosomal RNA is filed under the name uncultured bacterium. Its description in RNAcentral is "bacterial SSU rRNA". It matches the Rfam family "Bacterial small subunit ribosomal RNA", at positions 28 to 418 of the family's 1533-position model. The record is from RNAcentral.
GACGAACGCUGGCGGCGUGCUUAACACAUGCAAGUCGAGCGGUAAGGCCCUUUCGGGGGUACACGAGCGGCGAACGGGUGAGUAACACGUGGGUGACCUGCCCUCAGCUCUGGGAUAAGCCUGGGAAACCGAGUCUAAUACUGGAUAUGACUCCAUGACGCAUGUUGUGGGGUGGAAAGCCUUGUGCGGCUGAGGAUGGGCCCGCGGCCUAUCAGCUUGUUGGUGGGGUGAUGGCCUACCAAGGCGACGACGGGUAGCCGGCCUGAGAGGGCGACCGGCCACACUGGGACUGAGACACGGCCCAGACUCCUACGGGAGGCAGCAGUGGGGAAUCUUGCGCAAUGGGCGAAAGCCUGACGCAGCGACGCCGCGUGAGGGAUGACGGCCUC